AUUUCGGGGACAAGCUUUUGGAUUUCUAGGAUCAGACUCUCCUUUACAAACAAAAGUUCCAUCAGCACUGAAAUAGUUACAACCCUUCGUGCCUGCGCAACAGUUGGUGCAUAUUUGAUUGUCCUUCUUUUCUUCUGAAAGUGGGCAAAGUCCGUAGGCAAUUCUUGGAUCACAAUUUAGGGGACAAACUUUUGGAUUUCUAGGAUCAGACUCUCCUUUACAAACAAAAGUUCCAUCAGCACUGAAGUAGUUACAACCCUUCUUACCUGCGCAACAGUUGGUGCAUAUUCGAUUAUCCUUCUUUUCUUCUGAAAGUGGACAAAGUCCAUAGGCAAUUCUUGGAUCACAAUUUCGGGGACAAGCUUUUGGAUUUCUAGGAUCAGACUCUCCUUUACAAACAAAAGUUCCAUUAGCACUGAAGUAGUUACAACCCUUCGUGCCUGCGCAACAGUUGGUGCAUAUUUGAUUGUCCUUCUUUUCUUCUGAAAGUGGGCAAAGUCCAUAUGCAAUUCUUGGAUCACAAUUUAGGGGACAAACUUUUGGAUUUCUAGGAUCAGACUCUCCUUUACAAACAAAAGUUCCAUCAGCACUGAAGUAGUUACAACCCUUCGUGCCUGCGCAACAGUUGAUGCAUAUUCGAUUGUCCUUUUCUUUUGAAAGUGGGCAAAGUCCAUAGGCAAUUCUUGGAUCACAAUUUCGGGGACAAGCUUUUGGAUUUCUAG
Molecule: long non-coding RNA, 722 nt
Filed under: Nicotiana tabacum (common tobacco)
Lineage: Eukaryota; Viridiplantae; Streptophyta; Magnoliopsida; Solanales; Solanaceae
Description: long non-coding RNA (NTAB_LNC001572)
Source: RNAcentral